This 774-nucleotide ribosomal RNA is filed under the name uncultured Neocallimastigales. Its description in RNAcentral is "partial large subunit ribosomal RNA". It matches the Rfam family "Eukaryotic large subunit ribosomal RNA", at positions 19 to 649 of the family's 3401-position model. The record is from RNAcentral. Lineage: Eukaryota; Fungi; Neocallimastigomycota; Neocallimastigomycetes; Neocallimastigales.
CGAGCACGCGCGUGUGGCAUAUCAAUAAGCGGAGGAAAAGAAACUAACAAGGAUUCCCCUAGUAACGGCGAGUGAAGCGGGAAGAGCUCAAAUUUGAAAUCUUCAAGGUUCUACCUUGACGAAUUGUAGUUUAUAGAAGUGUUUUCUGUUAGGAGAGUGGUAAAAGUUCUUUGGAAUAGGACAUCAUAGAGGGUGAGAAUCCCGUAUUUGGUCAUUCCUCCUAGCGUUGUGAUACACUUUCAACGAGUCGGAUUGUUUGGGAAUGCAGUCCAAAAUGGGUGGUAAAUUCCAUCUAAAGCUAAAUAUUGGCGAGAGACCGAUAGCGAACAAGUACCGUGAGGGAAAGAUGAAAAGAACUUUGAAAAGAGAGUUAAACAGUACGUGAAAUUGUCAAAAGGGAAGCGUUUGACACCAGUGUUGUCUUUCCGAAAAUCAAUUACGAAUGUUUUGUUUUUGAGGAGUUAUGACUUCAUCGGCUUGCUCCUUUCUUUACGAAACUUUCUUAAUGCACUUUUCGGUUAACAAGUCAACAUCAAUUUCUUUUGUUGUAAAAGGGUAUGAGGAAGGUGGCUUUCUUUUCGGAGAAAGUGUUUAUAGCCUUGUGCCUCUGCAAUCGGAGAGAUUGAGGUCUGCAGCGUAGAUCCUUCGGGGUUAGAUACAUUUGUGCUAAGUUAUAGCUUUUCAUAGACAACUUGUUGACUAUGUUUAGUCUUGUAGCUUACUCGCUUAUGCUAUUUUACCUACGCUUAGGAUGUUGAGUAGCGACAUACGCAC